CAAAGUCAUCAUGCAGCCUGUGCUGGGGCAGAACAUCCAGUGUGAGGAGGAGCAGCUGGCAGAGAGCCCACCUGUCACCAAGAGGCUGAGGGAAUUCAAUAUCUCACUCCAUCCUCACACAAGACAACUGAGACAACUAAAGCAGAAGCCACAGGAACAGAGAGAUGCCUCCAUCUUACUCCAUCAGCAUCUCAAAGAUCUGCUCACAGUGGACAGCCCUGAGAGCUGCCUGAACCAGGGCCUCUGGGAUCCACUUUCUCAGGGACAUCAUCUGGCAGAGCACCGUGCCCACAAGCUCAGCCAAGGUACUGUCCGAGGAAAGGAGGGAAGACCUGCUAGGACAGAGGCUGGGGAACUCCACCCUCUCCUUCCUGCCUGAGGGGAGGAUAGCAUUGGAAAGUCUGCAGUGUCCUCAGAGGAGGCUGUGACAGGAGGAGCUUCCUCGCAGGGAAGGGACCUGGGCUAACCAGGAGGGCUCCCAGGUCUGUGCUCACACUGACUUCAGAGAAGGCAUUCAGUGACUUCCUCU
This is a long non-coding RNA of Ochotona curzoniae (black-lipped pika), 529 nucleotides long. RefSeq lists it as uncharacterized. The transcript is spliced from 2 exons. Lineage: Eukaryota; Metazoa; Chordata; Mammalia; Lagomorpha; Ochotonidae. The record is from RefSeq and is a predicted model, not a curated record.